CUGAGCGAGGGUUUCGGCCCGACCUCCAACCCCAUGUAUUCCGACUCUGUUGCCUCGGGGGCGACCCGGCCUUCGGGCGUCGGGGCCCCCGGUGGACUCCAUAACUCUGCAUCUUUGCGUCUGAGUAACACUUUGAAUUAAAUCA
Molecule: unclassified non-coding RNA, 145 nt
Filed under: uncultured fungus
Lineage: Eukaryota; Fungi
Description: sequence contains ITS1
Source: RNAcentral